Molecule: long non-coding RNA, 1753 nt
Organism: Talpa occidentalis (Iberian mole)
Lineage: Eukaryota; Metazoa; Chordata; Mammalia; Eulipotyphla; Talpidae
Exons: 3
Source: RefSeq, a predicted model, not a curated record
AGGAAAUGCUGUCACCGCCGUUAACACGCACGUGGAGGUAGUCAGAAUCUAGUUCCUCAUCAACAGCAGCCAUCGCCGAAGCCACAGAGGAGCAGAUAGCUGUGCAACGCCGCGUCUAGGCAGGGAAUGCAGAACUGAGAAAUGGGGAGCCUGCCAUUGUCCACUCCAGCUUUGACCUGGCUGAGACAGCCGUGGGUCAAGGCUUCUCUGUGAUCCUGGUUUCCAUCAACAACAGCAAGGGAAGCCGCAAGAGCCAUCUAGGCAGGCACCCCAGGAUGUGCCAGGCCUGCAUCAUCAGCACCAGCCAGAGGACCCGUCACCAGGUCACCCGGCAGCCCCAGCUUAUGACACGGGAGCUGCUCCACCUACCUAGGGAGUCCAGGGCCUGCUCCUCUGCUUCCGGCCAUCGCAUCCUUGCCCGCAUAACCACUAUUGCUCGCCCAUCAAGGUGGUCGGUGCCAUCAAAGUUACCAGGCAGAACGUCCUAGGGGCAUGCAUCUGUGGGGGAGGGGUGGCUGCAAGCCCUGUUCACCUGUCUCCUGCAAAGGGGCAGAACCAGGAAGGGAACUUGAGCCUGGGACACAGACCAUCCCUUUGGCCAGGGGCUGCCCCACCAGCUUUGGCCAGUGCCCACUCCAUUUGGAUAAUCUCUUGGGCAACUGGUUAGACUCUGUUUUGCCAUUGUGACGCUGUGAACUGGGGAAGGGAAGCCUUCAGGUAGGGGGCCCUCUGCGUGGAGAUGUUACUGGCCAGGGAAGCUUGACAGUUACUGGCCCUGCAGUAUUUUUGAACAUUUAAAGAUAGGGAACUUUCACACAAAAUUUCCCAUUUCUAGCUUCUCUUACAAAAAUCACACAAACUCUGGCAUUUCACACAGCACCAACUGGCCAAAGCCGUAUGGAGGCAGCCCUCGCAUGGGGCCACAUGUCUGGUUUUGCAGACAUACUCUGCUGCUUGACCUCACAAACCUGUCCUAACAGCUCACCCCCCACCCCCCAAAUUUUAGAUCUACAGAAUUUGCUAAAACCAAAAUCAGCCCACUGCCCUCUUUGGAGUGCCAGGGUAGCAGAGAGGAAAAGAGGUUGCAGAGGGUCCUCUUGGGUAGAGCUAGGCUCCCAGCUUGACCCUCUGCCCAGAAUAGAUCUUGGCCAUUAGGAGACUGUCUUCUCCAGAUUCUUUAGCUUUCUGGAAGUGACUGAGCCAAGGUCCCUUUGGCUCUCUUUUAAGGUUCUUACCGAUGGGCUCUGUGGCCAAAGCUUUCUUCUAGGACCUGGAGAGCUGAAAGGAGGAAUUAGCUGGCUGGUACGGAAGGCACGGCUGUGACUUGACUCGGGCCAGUGUGCCUGCUUUGAUGGGAUGAAACUGCCCCCUGGAGGCCCCUCCAGGCCCAUGCCAGCGCCACCACCAGGUCCUUUCAGGCUUUGGCUUGGCUUUGUCAGGAGGGCAAGGUUCUGCCUUGGUCCCAGAGUGGGUGGCUCUGAGACCAGGGUAGAGCUCCUCCCCGGAAGCCCCUCCCAGGGCUCUCUGAGGUUUAAAAAAAAAAAAAAAAAAAAGCUGCACUGCCGAGUUGCAGAUUUUGCCUCAGGCAACUAAAUUUAUUAGCAAGAAAAAAUUUUUGUCAGCCCAGUGCUGACCAACAAAGUACAUUGUUAAUAAAGGAUAACAAAUCUGUCACUUCAUUCAUAAAACAUACCUCAAGCAGUUACAACUAAAAAUAAAGUUGGAUUUUUGUUUAAUUUAAAAGCCUCAAAAA